AUGUCACAAACUGACGUUUCUUACUGCUGUGGCUCAUGUGGAUACCCUCUGAAUUUGACAUCUUCAAAUCGAAUCACAUCUAACAUUGCAUCAGAAUACAAAAAGUCUGUUAAGAAAGGGUCAAUCUCCUUUUCAUCAGUUGAUCUCAGCCGCUUUACACAGUUCUCAUUGGUUAUGGUUAUAGUGGACAAUCACCUGCACUUUGUGGAUGUGAGCCUUCCAUUUCGUCGAGCUCUUUGA
This is a non-coding RNA of Vicia faba (fava bean), 240 nucleotides long. Lineage: Eukaryota; Viridiplantae; Streptophyta; Magnoliopsida; Fabales; Fabaceae. The record is from the annotation of a GenBank genome assembly.